UAUUUUAUGCCUAAUGUAUGACUAAUUUGAAAAAUAACUCCUGUCUUUAUAGCGAAAACAUAGAAUUUGUUGAGGAGAUGUACCAGAAGUAUCUUCAAGAUGAUAAAUCAAUAGGAAAAGAUUGGUGUGGAGUUUUCUCAGGUGAUGUAGAGAAUAACAAUGCAGCGACUUCUUAUAAUGCACAAAGUAUAAAGGUAGAUAAUUUAAUUGCAGAAUUAGCAAAUUUUUUUAGAUCUUAUGGACACUUUUUUGCAGAUUUAAAUCCUUUGUCAUCACGUGAAAAUCAACCAAUAGAUUACAGAAAAUAUUCUGAUCUACAAGAUAUAGAUUUAAAUAAAUCAAUAGAUCUUAAUGGGCUAUUCAACAAAGGUAAAGUAACUGUUGGUGAGUUUAUUUCUACAUUAAAAGGAAUCUAUUGUAAA
RNAcentral lists this long non-coding RNA (422 nucleotides) under Cinara cedri. The record is from RNAcentral. Lineage: Eukaryota; Metazoa; Arthropoda; Insecta; Hemiptera; Aphididae.